CCUACGGGUGGCAGCAGUGAGGAAUAUUGGUCAAUGGGCGCGAGCCUGAACCAGCCAAGCAGCGUGAAGGAUGACUGCCCUACGGGUUGUAAACUUCUUUUAUAAAGGAAUAAAGUGAGGCACGUGUGCGUUGGUGUAUGUACUUUAUGAAUAAGGAUCGGCUAACUCCGUGCCAGCAGCCGCGGUAAGACGGAGGAUCCGAGCGUUAUCCGGAUUUAUUGGGGUUAAAGGGAGCGUAGCUGGGUUGUUAAGUCAGUGGUGAAAGUUUUCGGCUCAACCGUAAAAAUGCCAUUGUUACUGGCAGCCUUGAGUACAGUUGCGGUAGGCGUCAUUCGUGGUGUAGCCGUGA
RNAcentral lists this ribosomal RNA (349 nucleotides) under uncultured bacterium. Its description in RNAcentral is "partial 16S ribosomal RNA". It matches the Rfam family "Bacterial small subunit ribosomal RNA", at positions 338 to 684 of the family's 1533-position model. The record is from RNAcentral.